UCUCUGAUUUCUAUACCGCUGCAAAAACAAAAACCCUACCACCGCCAACAACGCCACGCCGGCGGUACCACAAACUAAACUCGACACCAUUAACACCUUCCGCGCGUGAUCAUCACCGCCGCCGGUACUCCACGACGGAUCGCUGAAGUUUCUCGCCUCCGGCAGUGGCUGUGUGGUUGACGACGCUCCGCUGCCGAAGAAUGAUGACAUCUGUGGUGACGCUGCUUGCGCCGUUUCCGGCGAAUCGGCGCCGUUAGUUAGUCCGUGAUCCGACGGCCGGAGUUCCUUGCCGUCUGAUUGUUUGAUGAUUGAAAUUGAAAUUCCGAUUAGUGGUAGGUAGAGUGCCAUUAGUAUGCACCGGUGCCACCGGUUCUUCAUCUCGAAAGUUUCUGUUUUGGUUUCGUUGCUUUUUCGCCUCUUUAUUGCCGGUUUGAUGAAAUGAUAAAGGGGCAACUUUAAAUAGCUUCUUUAAGAAGGUGUUUUUGUGUACCUUCUUUUUUGAAACAAUGUGUGAAUACUAUAAAAAAUCAAAAUAUUUAUU
This 541-nucleotide long non-coding RNA is filed under the name Helianthus annuus (common sunflower). RNAcentral describes it as "hypothetical non coding rna". Lineage: Eukaryota; Viridiplantae; Streptophyta; Magnoliopsida; Asterales; Asteraceae. The record is from RNAcentral.